Oncorhynchus tshawytscha (Chinook salmon) is the source of this 606-nucleotide long non-coding RNA. NCBI's taxonomy places the organism in Eukaryota, Metazoa, Chordata, Actinopteri, Salmoniformes, Salmonidae. The record is from Ensembl.
GAGAGAGAGACAGAGAGAGAGAGACACCCCACAGAGCCCCAGGACAGCAGCACAAUUAGACCCAACCAAAUCAUGAGAAAACAAAAAGAUAAUUACUUGACACAUUGGAAAGAAUUAACAAAAAAACAGAGCAAACUAGAAUGCUAUUUGGCCCUAAACAGAGAGUACACAGUGGCAGAAUACCUGUCCACUGUGACUCUUUACAGAGGGGAUUAAGAGAGAAGAAAGUACUUUCUGGAAGAGGAAAAGAAGAGAAGAUAUAUCUGUGGCCCUUCCUAGGAUUAAAAGGGCCCCUGGCUCAGAUCAACCUAAUGGGGAUGCUGUUGUUGUCUCUCUGUCUCUACAACGACCUCGUCUCUGGAGGCAUAAUGAAGGAUGAUGAGAUCCAGAAUUAUGGCGGUGACACCAUAAGCUGCUCUCUGGCUCCGGUGCAGCGUCUGGAGGCCCUGCUGGCUCAGGGGAAUGGCAACGAUGUGUCCCUCAGGGUUCAGAGUCCAGGGCCUUCAGCAGGGUCACCCAGUACAUGACUCAGAACCUGGCCAGCUCCUCUGGACACGCAGUGGAAAGGUACCAGUAUGCCCUUCAGACUGGAGAAGUGGCCCUGAG